GAUCCAGAGUCAGGAAACACUGGUGAAUCACUUCCUGCAGUGAAUCACAUCUUUAUGCUGAUCGAGGUGAAGAAAGGGAGGUCACAUCCUUCCUUGGUCUUCCCUUUCUCCUCCUGACUUCAGCUGGCCCAACCUGCAAACCUUUUGUCUUCGAGUCAUGGAUGCUUACUGACACCAGGUGAGUGAGUUGGGGCUCAUGUAGCUAAAGGGUCCAGUGGCCAGAAAGAAAGGGUUCUCACACAGGAUGAGCAGCCCUUCUACAAG
Molecule: long non-coding RNA, 264 nt
Filed under: Cavia porcellus (domestic guinea pig)
Lineage: Eukaryota; Metazoa; Chordata; Mammalia; Rodentia; Caviidae
Description: lncRNA (ENSCPOG00000030982.1)
Source: RNAcentral